CCUCCCUCCAACGCCGGAAAAGCCAGGUAUUCACAGUUCUAGGGAUAGGAGCGUAGGAUUCACUUGCACUACGGCGGGAUUCCUGUAGAAGAACAAAAGCUAGCAGAUACUACAACCACGAUAGCAGCGAUGGGCGUGCAUGACCGAUGGCCUCUCGUUCUCCUUGACGUUAAUGGCCAUGAUGUACCUCGGAUGUGAUUUCCAGGCGUCAGCACAGUCUCAGAACCUUCAGGACAUCUUGCAAGGUCUCCAGCAAAACAUUGGAAACACUACAAGCAUUG
Molecule: long non-coding RNA, 281 nt
Filed under: Penaeus japonicus
Lineage: Eukaryota; Metazoa; Arthropoda; Malacostraca; Decapoda; Penaeidae
Description: uncharacterized LOC122248434
Source: RNAcentral